GACGAACGCUGGCGGCGUGCUUAACACAUGCAAGUCGAACGGAAAGGCCCUGCUUUUGUGGGGUGCUCGAGUGGCGAACGGGUGAGUAACACGUGAGUAACCUGCCCUUGACUUUGGGAUAACUUCAGGAAACUGGGGCUAAUACCGGAUAUGAGCUCCUGCUGCAUGGUGGGGGUUGGAAAGUUUCGGCGGUUGGGGAUGGACUCGCGGCUUAUCAGCUUGUUGGUGGGGUAGUGGCUUACCAAGGCUUUGACGGGUAGCCGGCCUGAGAGGGUUACCGGGCACAUUGGGACUGAGAGACGGCCCAGACGCCUACGGGAGGCAGAAGUGGGGAAUAUUGCACAAUGGGCGGAAGCCUGAUGCAGCAACGCCGCGUGCGGGAUGACGGCCUUCGGGUUGUAAACCGCUUUCGCCUGUGACGAAGCGUGAGUGACGGUAAUGGGUAAAGAAGCACCGGCUAACUACGUG
RNAcentral lists this ribosomal RNA (468 nucleotides) under uncultured bacterium. Its description in RNAcentral is "partial 16S ribosomal RNA". It matches the Rfam family "Bacterial small subunit ribosomal RNA", at positions 28 to 507 of the family's 1533-position model. The record is from RNAcentral.